GGAAGUAUAUAACAGCUAUUUACCGGGCAAACCACUCCAAAAUGCAGUGUCUUAAAAAAAAAGAGUAACUUUAUAAUGGAGAAACCUGGAAAACACUGUUCUAACCAAGUGUCGAAGUUAACAUCACCAAAUGAUGUCAAGUGGAUCUCACGUCCCCCCUGAUAUGAUGUGAUAAGAAGGACACUUCACUUCACAUCUGUGGUAUUUCUUUCCCAAACGUGAAAACUCCAGUCUAAUCAUGAAAAAAAAAUCAGGCAAACCCAAGUUGAAGGACAUGCUAUAAAAUAUCUAGCCAGUGAUCCUAAAGCUGUCAAAGUCAUGAAAACAAGGAAGACUGAGAAACUCUCACAGAUCCGAGGAGACAAAGGAAAGACAAUAGCUAAAUGCAUUGUGGCAUCUUGGAUUGGAUCCUGGAAUAAAACAAGGGCAUUAUUCCAAAUCAUACCUUCAGAUUCUGACCCUCAUGUGGCCACGUGGGGCUCUACUGACCCUCCCUGAUCCAUGUCUUCUGCUUACUUCAACUGCUCGAUUUCAUCGACAUCUUUCAGGAAGCCAAGGACUUAAAUGAGAAUGGUAUCCAUCAGGUUGGGUUGCGGCAAGGACUCAGUGAUUAGGACAUGUUAAAUGCUCAGAGGAAAAUCGAAGGACAGAAAUCUCUCCAUCCUGUUGCAUGUCCCUGGGAUCGCAUUUGCACCUCAUCUGGAGACAAGGGCCAAACAUCUCAAGGCCCUUUGUGAAUGACAAGAGUGGACCAAACAGCCCUCCUCCUUCUCCCUUCCACUCGCCCCCCCACCCGGCUUCCAUGUUGGGAUUUCACACAGAAAUGAAC
Molecule: long non-coding RNA, 829 nt
Organism: Zalophus californianus (California sea lion)
Lineage: Eukaryota; Metazoa; Chordata; Mammalia; Carnivora; Otariidae
Exons: 3
Source: RefSeq, a predicted model, not a curated record